Molecule: long non-coding RNA, 1906 nt
Organism: Triticum aestivum (bread wheat)
Lineage: Eukaryota; Viridiplantae; Streptophyta; Magnoliopsida; Poales; Poaceae
Exons: 5
Source: RefSeq, a predicted model, not a curated record
AGGACAUGUGCCGGCAUCCGGGUACGCAAGCAACCAAUACAACCACGACAUGGUGCAGUCGGCCUUCUCCGACGAGCUUCCACCCCUGCAUCAACAGCAGCACCGCGCUGGCUGUUGAAGCAUCGAGUUCAACAGCGGUGGCAAUGAACCCUUCUACAACAGAAAAUAUCAGGAAGCAGCAGCUCAGUAUACCGAAACUCUGAAAAAGAAUUUGAAUGAGUCUGCACUGCAGGGGAGGGGGAGGAGGCCGGCUACAGGGGGAAGGAGUAGGCCGGUGAGAAGGGCAAGUGGCAGGGGACAAGUAAUCUGCUCUAAUUAUCAGUUUCUUACAAUUUGUAAUAGCGAAACUCUUGCUUCCUUGCCCAUAAGAGAAAAUACACCAAUUUUUUUAUCACCUUAGCUUGUCGAUGGCAUACCACCCUGUACUGUGAGCCAGCAAUCGAUCUGUGAGCCCUCUUGCACUAUAUUAUGUAUCAGGGUUGUAACACUAUUAUAUUUGGGAGGACGCUCUAAGUGGAAAGUACGGAUAUGUUUCAGAGAGUACGGAUAUGUUUUAGAGUGUUGCAAAGUAAAAGUUGGUAUGGUGCCAGCCUAGGUGAUGUAGUCCAAAAGGAAUCUCUCGAGUUUAUGAGUUGAUAGUAUAUUUGAAUCUCUUGGGCUGUUGUAGAUUUUGUUCUUCCCCACUUCUAGAUCUUCCACAAGUAAAAGUUGGUAUGGUGCCAGCCUAGGUGAUGUAGUCCAAAAGGAAUCUCUCGGGUUUAUGAGUUGAUAUUAUAUUUGAAUCUCUUGGGCUGCUGUAGAUUUUGUUCUUCCCCACUUCUAGAUCUUCCACAAGUAAUCUUUUUAUUUUCUAAAAUAUGUAUGUUCGCUCAUUGGACUGCAACAGCCAGAGAUGCUACAGAUGGAGACUAAAUAGCGAGGAGAAGCAGAUGAGAAUAUUGAUUUGGAAAUUCGAAGUAUUAAACAAUUGGUCUGGCCUUUGGCCAUGGUAAGGUAACUUCUGUUUUAUAAGCCUGUUUUUUCUAACAUCCACCUUGGUCUCCUUCUCGAUCUUGCCUGCCUUGCUCUUGUGCUUCUCCUUGUCAGCUCAGGUCUUCGAUCCGCUUUCUUCUUCAACGAAGCUGACCAUGAUCUCCUACAUGUGUUGCCGUGCUCCCUGAAGCAUCCUUCUCUCUUCUAGAUCCAACUCUUUUCGUUCUGGUUUUAACUAUGCUUAUGAUUGCCUGUCUUGCCUAUAUUCAUUCGCCAUACGCAAGUCUACUGGUGCGUGCCAACGGAAAUUAUAUUUGCAUAAUCAGAUUAGAUUAUAUGAUUUCCUGACCUUGAUUCCCCCUCGAUUGGUUACUAAAAUAUAUGUACAAUUCUUCCAUUCUGUGCUUACAAUCGCAAAGUUAAUGCCUUCAAUUUACUUAAGCUAUAGAAAUCCGUUUGAUUUCCUCUAGACAUAGGUAUCAUUGUAUUCCUGAAUCCAUUUGAUUUCAUGUCUCUGCUGUUAUAUUUAUGAUCUUGUAAUCGCAUGUCAUCGGUUUGCUCAGGGGUUAUUGGAUUCUUGAUGGUCAUGCAUGCUAAAACUUUUUCGAUCAUCAUUCUUAAUAUACACUCCAUUUACAGCUUGUGCCUAACCUUUGGAUUUAUCUUUUUUCAAAGUGCUCCUCAUGGAGUUGGUUGAGCUAUCCAACAAGUUUCUGGCUGACGUAAUGUUUGAAAAGCUCUUGCUCCUAAACCAGUCUACUUCGUAAGUAGCUCGAGUAGGGUGGAUAUGCGUGUAGUUGAGUUUUACCCCACAAAGGAGCAUCUCCACAUUUCAGUAGAAUGAAUUGCGCUGUCAAGCCCCGUAUGUAAGGAUAGGGUGUCAUCGAUGAAUCGUGCGGCUGUUCGAGCCAUCAGGUUCAUGGAAUGCAGAGAG